Molecule: non-coding RNA, 105 nt
Organism: Acanthosepion pharaonis
Lineage: Eukaryota; Metazoa; Mollusca; Cephalopoda; Sepiida; Sepiidae
Source: the annotation of a GenBank genome assembly
CCCAUAUCACAUUGAAACACUGGUUCCUGUACGAUCACCAAAGUUAAGCAACAUCUAGUCUGGUCAGUACCUAGAUGGGUGACCACUUGGGAACACCAGGUGUUC